UAAGACGUAAGGAACCUGCCCCUAUGCCUGGGAUAACUCUGGGAAACGAGAGCUAAUACCGGAUAGGUGAACGGAAGACAUCUUCGGUUCAUGAAAGAUGGGGAACAUCACAGAGGGAUGGCCUUACGGCGCAUUAGCUAGUUGGAGAGGUAGAGGCUCACCAAGGCGAUGAUGCGUAGCCGGCCUGAGAGGGUGAACGGCCACAUUGGGACUGAGACACGGCCCAGACUCCUACGGGAGGCAGCAG
Molecule: ribosomal RNA, 247 nt
Filed under: uncultured bacterium
Lineage: Bacteria
Description: partial 16S ribosomal RNA
Rfam family: Bacterial small subunit ribosomal RNA
Source: RNAcentral